UUGUUCGAUACUGGAUUUUGUAUUGCACCGUAAAGCUUCGACAAAUAGAAGACAUUCGAUGACUGGACACAGAGGUAGAGGACGCAGGCUGAUUGCGUUCAAUUGAGAUAAAGUCGAAGAUUCACCAUCGUGUCCUUCCUACGUUCUGAAAGAAGGACUCACAAAUUCCUCUUCAAAGCUCCAUCAAUGUAGCCAGUUGAUGCCUUGAACAACUAGAAAUUGGAUAUGAAUGGGAUCUGGACUAAAACCUUAAUAAAAACUUGUAUGACUUUUGCAGGUAUGUCGGUUCCCUUUCCUUCAAAUUCCAAACUUACAAACUUAAAUAGCGUGGAUCGUUCUGCAUUUAUUCUAAACUGCAGACCUUUUAUUCCGAAGUGCAGACAUUACUUUUUUUUAAAAAUUUUA
This is a non-coding RNA of Rhopilema esculentum, 405 nucleotides long. The record is from RefSeq and is a predicted model, not a curated record. Lineage: Eukaryota; Metazoa; Cnidaria; Scyphozoa; Rhizostomeae; Rhizostomatidae.